GACGAACGCUGGCGGCGUGCCUAAUACAUGCAAGUCGAACGCACAGUUUAUACCGUAGCUUGCUUCACCAUAGACCGUGAGUUGCGAACGGGUGAGUAACGCGUAGUUAACCUGACUGGUAGCGGGGGAUAACUAUUGCAAACGCUAGCUAAUACAGCAUAAUAUUAAUUAUUGCAUGAUAAUUAAUUGAAAGGUGCAAUUGCACAUCUACCAGCUGGACCUACGUUGUAUUAGCUAGUAGGGGAGGUAACGGCCCACCUAGGCGACGAUACAUAGCAGACCUUAGAGGGUACUCUGCCACACGGGGACUAAGACCCGGCCCGGACUCCUACGGGAGGCAGCAGUAGGGAAUCUUCGGCAAUGGACGAAAGUCUGACCAGGCAACGCCGCGUGAGUGAAGGAGGUUUUCGGAUCGUAAGGCUCUGUUGUAAGUGAAGAUCUGGUGUGAUAGUGGAAAGUGCGCACUGUGACGGUAUCUUACCAGAAAGGGACGGCUAACUACGUG
Molecule: ribosomal RNA, 505 nt
Filed under: uncultured bacterium
Lineage: Bacteria
Description: partial 16S ribosomal RNA
Rfam family: Bacterial small subunit ribosomal RNA
Source: RNAcentral